GAUGAACGCUGGCGGCGUGCUUAACACAUGCAAGUCGAACGAUGAAGCCCAGCUUGCUGGGUGGAUUAGUGGCGAACGGGUGAGUAACACGUGAGUAACCUGCCCUUAACUCUGGGAUAAGCCUGGGAAACUGGGUCUAAUACCGGAUAGGAGCGUCCGCCGCAUGGUGGGUGUUGGAAAGAUUUAUCGGUUUUGGAUGGACUCGCGGCCUAUCAGCUUGUUGGUGAGGUAAUGGCUCACCAAGGCGACGACGGGUAGCCGGCCUGAGAGGGUGACCGGCCACACUGGGACUGAGACACGGCCCAGACUCCUACGGGAGGCAGCAGUGGGGAAUAUUGCACAAUGGGCGAAAGCCUGAUGCAGCGACGCCGCGUGAGGGAUGACGGCCUUCGGGUUGUAAACCUCUUUCAGUAGGGAAGAAGCGAAAGUGACGGUACCUGCAGAAGAAGCACCGGCUAACUACGUG
Molecule: ribosomal RNA, 466 nt
Filed under: uncultured bacterium
Lineage: Bacteria
Description: partial 16S ribosomal RNA
Rfam family: Bacterial small subunit ribosomal RNA
Source: RNAcentral